CCGAUCGGUAAAUACGGAGGAAGGUGGGGAUGACGUCAAAUCAUCAUGCCCCUUAUGACCUGGGCUACACACGUGCUACAAUGGUUGGUACAACGAGUUGCGAGUCGGUGACGGCGAGCUAAUCUCUUAAAGCCAAUCUCAGUUCGGAUUGUAGGCUGCAACUCGCCUACAUGAAGUCGGAAUCGCUAGUAAUCGCGGAUCAGCACGCCGCGGUCGAAUACGUUCCCGGGCCUU
RNAcentral lists this ribosomal RNA (234 nucleotides) under uncultured Streptococcus sp. RNAcentral's name for it is "partial 16S ribosomal RNA". It matches the Rfam family "Bacterial small subunit ribosomal RNA", at positions 1152 to 1382 of the family's 1533-position model. Lineage: Bacteria; Bacillati; Bacillota; Bacilli; Lactobacillales; Streptococcaceae. The record is from RNAcentral.